RNAcentral lists this ribosomal RNA (247 nucleotides) under uncultured bacterium. RNAcentral describes it as "partial 16S ribosomal RNA". It matches the Rfam family "Bacterial small subunit ribosomal RNA", at positions 523 to 769 of the family's 1533-position model. The record is from RNAcentral.
AUACGUAGGGGGCGAGCGUUGUCCGGAUUUACUGGGCGUAAAGGGUGAGUAGGCGGUUGCAUAUGUCAGAUGUAAAAGGCACAGGCUCAACUUGUGUUAGCAUUUGAAACUGUGCGACUUGAGUGCAGGAGAGGUAAGUGGAAUUCCUAGUGUAGCGGUGAAAUGCGUAGAUAUUAGGAGGAACACCAGUGGCGAAGGCGACUUGCUGGGCCGUAACUGACGCUGAGGCGCGAAAGCGGUGGGGAGC